RNAcentral lists this transfer RNA (76 nucleotides) under Bacillota bacterium. Its description in RNAcentral is "Firmicutes bacterium (anaerobic digester metagenome) tRNA-Arg". It matches the Rfam family "tRNA". From Rfam's summary of the family: Transfer RNA (tRNA) molecules are approximately 80 nucleotides in length. Their secondary structure includes four short double-helical elements and three loops (D, anti-codon, and T loops). The record is from RNAcentral. Lineage: Bacteria; Bacillati; Bacillota.
GCGCCCGUAGCUCAGUGGAUAGAGUGCCUGACUACGAAUCAGUAGGUCGAAGGUUCAAGUCCUUCCGGGCGCGCCA